Molecule: non-coding RNA, 2137 nt
Organism: Aegilops tauschii subsp. strangulata
Lineage: Eukaryota; Viridiplantae; Streptophyta; Magnoliopsida; Poales; Poaceae
Source: RefSeq, a predicted model, not a curated record
UAUCUCAGGCCUAAUUUCGUGGGCGAAGUCGAUUGCGUUGCCGUGACAGCCUCAACAAGGCCAGCAAGCUGGCGACUGCGCUCUUCAGAAUUUAUGCCCGCUGAGCUGCUGCCAAACAGCGGUUUUGAUUCCCAGUUGGGCUGCCUGCGUGGUGGUGGCAUAAAUCCGCCAUGAAGGCCAGCUCUCCUUCUGUACGUCGUCCCAAAUCAAAUCAUACUUGCUUCCUUCACGCGCGCGCGAGGUGAGGGGAGGCGUGGGCAGGACAAGAAGCUUGACAACCUUCUAGCAAUGUGGGGGCAAGAACGUGUUGUGUAGGUAUCUGUGACUUUAUUUGCUAGAAGAACUCCUUUUGGUUUGACUCGAUCGAGAAAAAUACUUAGUGCUAGUUUACUGCACCCUUACACUUGGGGAGUUACCCAACCACAUGUACAAGGGAGCAAGCACACCUCUGGCUUGUCGUCGUCAUCCAUCUCGGCAAACAUCUUGUCGAUCUCCGCAUCCGCUGACCUAGGAAGCGAUAGUUGGCCUCCACCUCCGCCUCCUACUGGAUGGAGUGGAGGAUGGUCUGCCGCUUCACCGUCUCCUCCGCCUGGGUCACCCCAAACUCCGCCAGUACCUCGUGCAUGGUGAAGUCCACAACAUGAGGGAUCCGCAUUGUGGCCACUUCAUCAAUCCCAAGAUGAUGUGCCGGCUCAGUCACUCGGAGUUCCUCAUAGGGGUAGGAAUGUGCUUGCUUGCGUUCAUAGAGGUGACUGUAUGUGUGUAUGUUAGAGCGUAUGCUUGUGUACUGUGUUAAAAGAAUCAAUUUUUGUUUUCUUGAAAAGCCCCCAUAAAGCCCGAGCUUCGAACGAAUUCACCCUUUGUACUCGAGUAUUUGACAAAAAACUACCACAUUUGGGGUUCGCGUCCCAUAGAACUACCACUUUAAAAAAGUGACUGAUAACUACCAAAAAAUUGGAAUCUCGUGACUAAAAACUACCACUUUCGGAAAAUGGCCCGUUUAGAAGAUUUAAACGUGUUUAUGACAUGCGGGGCUCGUCUGUCAGGGAUGACGUGGCGGGAAAGUCAACUCCGUUUAUUUUUUACCAUUAAGUUGACCUUUGUGAUAGGUGGGGCCCACAUCAAUCUUCUUCUUCCUCUUCCUCUCUCUUUUUGGCAUUUCAACAAACACUUUCAGUGCAUGGAGGCGGUGGGACUAGUGCGGAGGCCACCAGCGAGGCGUGGCUGCUGGCCACGGCGGAUAGCUAUGACCGGCUAGGUCAAAUUCGCGCCGCCGUGGCCCGCCCUCCCGUCUUCCUGUGGCCGCGGCGGCCAACGACUUCUUCGCCGGGAGAUGGAGGGGCGGGUGCUCCCGAGGCCAAGCCGCAGCAGCGAGCCGAGCCCCACAACCAUGGCGAGCCCCAAGCCCCGGCCACGGCCACGGGAUAGGGAGAAGCCCAACCCACAGCGCCGCAGCGGCUCGGCAGCCUCGGCGGCACGCGUGCUGCAAGGCGUGGCCCUGGUGUGCGUGCCCCAGGCUUGGGAAGUUGGCCUGAAGCGCCUGGAGUAGCACGCCGCGGCCGCGUUCUCCCAGGGGUCUGGUGCCUUCGUUCCGGCCGCCUGCUGCGAUCUACCCGCUAGGUUCGCCGCCAUACCUCGCCGCUCGUCGCCUAGCUAGAGCUCCACGAUGGAGGUGCAGGCUGGCUAUCAAUGCGGCACGACGGGGAGGAGCAACGACACUCGAAGGACACCACCAGCCUCUGGCGACCCCGCGCCGCGCCGCCUUUCCCCGGACCCCUGGAUGAGCUCGAGCUCCAUGAUGGAGGCGGCAACGACAACAACGCUCCUCUCUGCAGAUGUGGUGUUUGUUAAAAUGCCAGAGAAAAAGAGAGGAGGAGGAAGAAGAAUGACGUGUGGGCCCUACUUGUCAUAACGGACCUAAUGGUCAGACUAAACGGUAUUGACUUUUUCUCCCCGUCAGCCCUGACAGACGGGCUUCACCUGUCAUAAACACGUUUAAAUCGCCUAAACUAGCCAUUAUCCGAAAGUGGUAGUUUUUAAUCACGAGAUUUCAAUUUUUUGGUAGUUAUCGGUCAUUUUUUUUAAAAGUGAUAGUUCUGUGGGAUGGAUGUCUGAAAUGUGGUAGUUUUUUGUCAAA